CCUCCCUUCGUGAAGGGAAUUGACGGUACUCUACGAAUAAGGAUCGGCUAACUCCGUGCCAGCAGCCGCGGUAAUACGGAGGAUCCAAGCGUUAUCCGGAAUCAUUGGGUUUAAAGGGUCCGUAGGCGGACUAAUAAGUCAGUGGUGAAAGUCUGCAGCUCAACUGUAGAAUUGCCAUUGAUACUGUUAGUCUUGAGUCAUUAUGAAGUGGUUAGAAUGAGUGGUGUAGCGGUGAAAUGCAUAGAUAUCACUCAGAAUACCGAUUGCGAAGGCAGAUCACUAAUAAUGUACUGACGCUGAUGGACGAAAGCGUAGGUAGCGAACAGGAUUAGAUACCCUGGUAGUCUACGCCGUAAACGAUGGUUACUAGCUGUUUGGUCGAUUGAGACUGAGUGGCUAAGCGAAAGUGAUAAGUAACCCACCUGGGGAGUACGUUCGCAAGAAUGAAACUCAAAGGAAUUGACGGGGGCCCGCACAAGCGGUGGAGCAUGUGGUUUAAUUCGAUGAUACGCGAGGAACCUUACCAGGGCUUAAAUGUAGUCUGACAGAUUUGGAAACAGAUUUUUCUUCGGACAGAUUACAAGGUGCUGCAUGGUUGUCGUCAGCUCGUGCCGUGAGGUGUCAGGUUAAGUCCUAUAACGAGCGCAACCCCUGUGGUUAGUUGCCAGCGAGUCAAGUCGGGAACUCUAGCCAGACUGCCGGUGCAAACCGUGAGGAAGGUGGGGAUGACGUCAAAUCAUCACGGCCCUUACGUCCUGGGCCACACACGUGCUACAAUGGUAGGGACAGAGAGCAGCCACUUCGCGAGAAGGAGCGAAUCUUCAAACCCUAUCACAGUUCGGAUCGCAGUCUGCAACUCGACUGCGUGAAGCUGGAAUCGCUAGUAAUCGGAUAUCAGCCAUGAUCCGGUGAAUACGUUCCCGGGCCUUGUACACACCGCCCGUCAAGCCAU
This 952-nucleotide ribosomal RNA is filed under the name Mesonia algae. Its description in RNAcentral is "bacterial SSU rRNA". It matches the Rfam family "Bacterial small subunit ribosomal RNA", at positions 451 to 1405 of the family's 1533-position model. Lineage: Bacteria; Pseudomonadati; Bacteroidota; Flavobacteriia; Flavobacteriales; Flavobacteriaceae. The record is from RNAcentral.